UCUUUUUUAACCUCACUGUUACCUCUUGCAGGUGAGAACUGUCACAAUGACACCUUAAAGGGGUAAAUUUCUUCUGCUGUGUUCCUUGUGGUAUGUGGAUGAUCUGACUUGGAUUUCUGCUGUGCUGUUAACACAUCUCCAUUUCCCUAUGAAAUAACAUCUCAGCAGGAGGGAUGGGCCACCAUGAACACUUUUAUUAAUCUGGUCGCCAGGGUUUCUAAAAGUGGCCCUGCAGGAAUGUCCUAAAUCAUAAAAUGGGAAGAAAUAUUCAAGGUCUUACCAUGACACAGCUGGACUUCAAACCCCAGAAGAGUCACUAUGUCAUUAUGGAAACAGGAAAUACAUACAGCAAAGCAUCACAAGAUAUGAGGAUAACAAUGGGCUGUGCUAGAUAAAGCUACUGUUCACUUUUUAUUGGAAUGAUCCACUUUUAGCUGCCUAUAGAUUUGCCAGACUUAGCCUAGAUGUUUUCCCCUUAGAAUCGUAGAAUCAUAG
Molecule: long non-coding RNA, 495 nt
Filed under: Numida meleagris (helmeted guineafowl)
Lineage: Eukaryota; Metazoa; Chordata; Aves; Galliformes; Numididae
Description: lncRNA (ENSNMEG00000000724.1)
Source: RNAcentral